AUUGAACGCUGGCGGCAUGCCUUACACAUGCAAGUCGAACGGCAGCACGGGUGCUUGCUCCUGGUGGCGAGUGGCGAACGGGUGAGUAAUACAUCGGAACAUGUCCUGUAGUGGGGGAUAGCCCGGCGAAAGCCGGAUUAAUACCGCAUACGAUCCACGGAUGAAAGCGGGGGACCUUCGGGCCUCGCGCUAUAGGGUUGGCCGAUGGCUGAUUAGCUAGUUGGUGGGGUAAAGGCCUACCAAGGCGACGAUCAGUAGCUGGUCUGAGAGGACGACCAGCCACACUGGGACGGGGACACGGCCCAGACUCCUACGGGAGGCAGCAGUGGGGAAUUUUGGACAAUGGGCGAAAGCCUGAUCCAGCAAUGCCGCGUGUGUGAAGACGGCCUUCGGGUUGUAAAGCACUUUUGUCCGGAAAGAAAUCCUUGACUCUAAUACAGUCGGGGGAUGACGGUACCGGAAGAAUAAGCACCGGCUAACUACGUG
This 486-nucleotide ribosomal RNA is filed under the name uncultured bacterium. RNAcentral's name for it is "partial 16S ribosomal RNA". It matches the Rfam family "Bacterial small subunit ribosomal RNA", at positions 30 to 507 of the family's 1533-position model. The record is from RNAcentral.